Molecule: transfer RNA, 77 nt
Filed under: Caudoviricetes sp.
Lineage: Duplodnaviria; Heunggongvirae; Uroviricota; Caudoviricetes
Description: tRNA-Arg
Rfam family: tRNA
About the family: Transfer RNA (tRNA) molecules are approximately 80 nucleotides in length. Their secondary structure includes four short double-helical elements and three loops (D, anti-codon, and T loops).
Source: RNAcentral
GCGCCGAUAACUCAAUCGGAAAGAGUACCGUUCCUCUAAAGCGGGAGUUGGGGGUUCGAGUCCCUCUCGGCGCGCCA